UGAACGCUGGCGGCAUGCCUUACACAUGCAAGUCGAACGGCAGCGCGGACUUCGGUCUGGCGGCGAGUGGCGAACGGGUGAGUAAUGUAUCGGAACGUGCCCUAGAGUGGGGGAUAACGUAGCGAAAGUUACGCUAAUACCGCAUACGAUCUAUGGAUGAAAGUGGGGGACCGUAAGGCCUCACGCUCACGGAGCGGCCGAUAUCUGAUUAGCUAGUUGGUAGGGUAAAAGCCUACCAAGGCGACGAUCAGUAGCUGGUCUGAGAGGACGACCAGCCACACUGGGACUGAGACACGGCCCAGACUCCUACGGGAGGCAGCAGUGGGGAAUUUUGGACAAUGGGGGCAACCCUGAUCCAGCAAUGCCGCGUGUGUGAAGAAGGCCUCGGUUGUAAGCACUUUGUCAGACGAACGUAGGGCGUAUAUCUCUGCUAAUGACGGUACCGUCGAAGAAUAAGCACCGGCGUAACUACGUGCCAGCAGC
Molecule: ribosomal RNA, 483 nt
Filed under: uncultured bacterium
Lineage: Bacteria
Description: bacterial SSU rRNA
Rfam family: Bacterial small subunit ribosomal RNA
Source: RNAcentral